CACCGUUACCGUGGUUUCAGCGCACAUUAUCAAGUAAAUGAAGGUGGUGUGAGACAGGCGUCUAACUCUUGCCCUGAUCCGGGAGAGCCAGAGAAUGGAAAACGCCAUGGCAGCGAUUACAGCAUUGGCAGUGUGGUGCAGUUCACUUGUGGAGAAGACUAUGUUCUUCAGGGCAGUAAAACGAUCAGCUGCCAGAGAGUAGCUGAAGUCUUUGCUGCCUGGAGUGACCACAGACCGGUCUGUAAAGUGAAGACAUGUGGCAGUAAUCUCCAAGGACCGUCAGGAACCUUUACAUCUCCUAACUUCCCAAUUCAAUAUGAGAGCAACGCACAGUGUGUGU
This is a long non-coding RNA of Micropterus dolomieu (smallmouth bass), 340 nucleotides long. RefSeq lists it as uncharacterized. The transcript is spliced from 4 exons. NCBI's taxonomy places the organism in Eukaryota, Metazoa, Chordata, Actinopteri, Centrarchiformes, Centrarchidae. The record is from RefSeq and is a predicted model, not a curated record.